RNAcentral lists this transfer RNA (64 nucleotides) under Stichophthalma louisa. RNAcentral describes it as "tRNA-Arg". The record is from RNAcentral. Lineage: Eukaryota; Metazoa; Arthropoda; Insecta; Lepidoptera; Nymphalidae.
UAAAUAAGAAGCAAUCUUGCAUUUAAUUUCGACUUAAAAAAUAGAGUUUUUACUCCUUAUUUAA